RNAcentral lists this long non-coding RNA (270 nucleotides) under Carica papaya (papaya). RNAcentral's name for it is "long non-coding RNA (CPAP_LNC007389)". The record is from RNAcentral. Lineage: Eukaryota; Viridiplantae; Streptophyta; Magnoliopsida; Brassicales; Caricaceae.
CGUGUUUCAUCAUAUUCUUGAUGUAAGGUUCUAGGAGUCUGAGCGCUUGUAGUUGUUGGCAUUGGUCUCUAGCGAUGAAAAAGGAGAUGGAAAAAAAGGGUUACGUAGAUGGUGAACUAGUGGCUGAAAUGGGUAAAUAAAAUAAGAUAUCCGAUGGAGAGUGAAAAUGGCAGGAGUUGUGAUGGACGACAAGGGAGUGAGUUAAGAGGGAAGGAAGAUGAUGAAUAUAAUGACAAACAAAGUAUGGAUGACUUUGGAUUAUUGAAAUUU